Silurus meridionalis is the source of this 1683-nucleotide long non-coding RNA. RefSeq lists it as uncharacterized. The transcript is spliced from 2 exons. The record is from RefSeq and is a predicted model, not a curated record. NCBI's taxonomy places the organism in Eukaryota, Metazoa, Chordata, Actinopteri, Siluriformes, Siluridae.
UCAGGUGAACGUGAUGUGAAGGUGCUUCAUGUGAACGUGAUGUGAAGGUGCUUCAGGUGAACGUGAUGUGAAGGUGCUUCAGGUGAACGUGAUGUGAAGGUGCUUCAGGUGAACGUGAUGUGAAGGUUCUUUAGGUGAAGGUGAUGUGAAGGUUCUUUAGGUGAAGGUGAACAUGAUGUGAAGGUUCUUUAGGUGAACGUGUUGUGAAGGUUCUUUAGGUGAACGUGAUGUGAAGGUGCUUUAGGUGUGAACGUGAUGUGAAGGUGCUUCAGGUGAACGUGAUGUGAAGGUGCUUCAGGUGAACGUGAUGUGAAGGUUCUUUAGGUGAAGGUAAACGUGAUGUGAAGGUUCUUUAGGUGAAGGUGAACAUGAUGUGAAGGUUCUUCAGGUCUUUAGUGAAAACACGUGUAAUUUGUAUAUUUGGUAAUCAUGUAGGAUUUUUUAUUAAUAAUCAUUUACAGCUUUACACGCAUCAUUCAGAUCUUAUCUCUACCAGUACGCACUGUGUAAUGUCUAAACCUCACCCCCAAAGCUAUAAACCCCGCCUCUACACCCUGAGUCCAGUCUCCACUGCUGUAGGCCACGUCCUCAUACCGCACCCCCUCAUCUCUAAGCCCCACCCACACCGCAGCAAGCCCACGCUAACCCAUUAAAAUCUUUAUUUGGUCCGGUGGAACCUGAGAUUAUACACACACACACACAAAUUAAGAACAGAGAGGAAGUGUGUGUGUGUGUGUGACUAUAUAGAACCUGUUUGCGUGUUCACCAUGUAUGUGUGUAUGAGGUAGGAUGGGAGUGUGUGAAUUUAUCACAUCAAGGUUCACAUGAAGGAUUGUGUGUGUGUGUGUGUGUGUGUGUGUGUGUGUGUGUGUGUGUGUGUGUGUGUGUGCCAGCAGAGGGCGCUGCUGAACUGACUACUAAAACACUGCAAAAGGACAGAUAAAAAGAAACCAUGGCAACACCUAUCUGACCAAUCAGAGCUCUCCGUUCCCUUACAUCAUUUUGUGCUUUUCUCACCAUGAGAGUUCUAUCGCACACACACACACACACACACACACACACACACACACACAGCCAUGUUGACUUCCCCUGAAUGACAUUUGUGUGUGUGUGUGUGUGUUCUCACACUCUGAUCCACGUGAGUUUAUAUUCUAGUGUAAACUGGCUAGCACGCUAGUGCGUUACAGCUAAUAAAGUAAUGAAGCUAACCUGAUUGAAAACCCACUCUGCUGUGUGACGUCACAGUCGCAUGCUAAUAAGCUAGCGUCAGCACAUUCUCUAAACACCCAGCAGUGUGUUUCUUUAAAAACAGCUACACACUCUAUUAUCACCUAGCAUUAGCUAACUAGCCAUCCUAGCAGAGGGGACGUCAUCAAGGGCAAGUGAAUGGAACACAGCCGAAGCAUCUACAUGCUAGUGUUGUGUCAUAUUCAUCAUUCACUUCACUUCAAGUAUUUCUCCUAAUGGCUCCCUGAUUGACUGUGGCAAAUUAAGCCCCACCCAUAUAAAUAUAUGCUAAUGAGAGCACAUGACACAAAAGAAAAAAGGAAAACAUUUAAUUGGGAAUUUCAACAGAAAUAAAAACGAAAGAGACGCUCGCAUUUCCUGCAGGUUUGGCUCGAAGUCUCACUCACACACACACACACACACACACACACACACACACACACACACAGUGUGUAU